CCCGAACCACGCGCGAGAAAAUUGAAAAGGAGAAAAAACCGGAUCCCCGUCGCUACCUGCCCUUAGCUCGCAUCUCUCCCGAUAGGAUUCUCCCCGCCUCCGCCACCGCCCUUCCUCGCCUCCGCCGCUGCCGCCGCUGUUCCCCAUCUCGCCGCCGCCGCCCUCUAACAUCCUUUCCAGCACGAAGUCGCCGUCCGGCCCUCCCGAUACUUUGCGGCCACACCUCCUCCUCUGCCGCCAAUACACAUCCCCGUUCUCCUCUUCCGAACCCGCGCCUCCGCAUCCGCUGCCGCCGCCGCUUCCCAGUUCUCCUCCUCCCCACUCAGCACGCCUCAGAGUUCUGCGGCCGUCGCACGCCGCCGCUUCCGUAGCUACUCCGCUGCCCUACCCACCCGAUCAGAAACAAGCCCCCGCAACUGCUCACCCGCCCAUCUUGCCGUCAGCCCUCCUACGAUGUAUAGUUCUGCACAACCCCUCCACCCCACCGGAGCUCCUCCCCGGCCUAUCCCGGAUUGACCCCAAAUCGGUACCUCAUCGCCGUUCCCCAUCACCUCCGCCCGCAGCCACCUUGCCCCCGGCCACCGCCACCUGCAUAUCCUUCCCCAGCACGCCUCCUCAUCCGACACAUCCCCUCGAUCACUCUCCUCUUUGCUGGCUGAUGCAGCGAAUCGCGAUCUCCACCUCGGUUUGUCUCGACCGCCGCCAGAAGAUUCAGAAUCCGGCUGGUCGUCCUCCGCGCUGCUCACCUCCGCUUGCGUCGCCAUUCCCAACACCACAUACGGGUUCAGGUCCCCUCCCAAAACUCUCACCGAGCCCGUUUGGGGCACUGACAAGCGCAACCUCUGUGGUGAACAGAUAAUUGGGGUAACCAUUAGAAGAGCAUGGUCUAAUGCUUUGCAACUGAAUCUUACUCUGUCUUUCCUCAAUUCAGUUUAAAUUUGUAGGGAGAUGUUGCUUGCAGGAUUCAGGUACUAUCUUCAAAUGGGUGUUGAUUCACAAGAUCUGAAAUCUCUAGAUAGGUGGUGGAGUGCACUACCUAUCCAACGUUCCCUUUCCUUAUUGAGGUGAGGGAGCGACACUAUUGGGUGACUCAACGGGUAUGAAUAUAUAUGUCAAAUGGUCAAUGUGGACAAGUAUCAAGUAUGUAUCUUUUCAGCUUUGUGUUAACAUGGUCAAGGCGUUCAGGUCUAAAAUUUUAGGCCGAAACCGUGUAGAAGUAUCAGGUUUGCACAGUGAUAUAUCUUGUAAUUUUAAGAUUACGAUGAAUGUGUUACUGGGAUUCUGUGGAAAGGGUACAAAUUAAUAGGGAUCUACACGGGCAUCAAUUUUUCAUACUGCUGAUAUCUAUCUCAACUCAUGGUUUUGCUUCAAACGUUCUAAUCUGUACUGAUCCUUGUAGUCUGUUAUAGUAAUCACUUGCAAUACCUUCAAGUCACACAGAUGAGGAGGUGUUAGUUUUUAAAGGGGAAUCUUUUGCUGGACCAAAUUUGCUAAUAUAGUGCGACUGAGAGGAGUGUGGAUAUGCUACUUCAUGGAAAGAAGCCACUGGUUGAGGUAGCUGACAUUAAGAGACUCAUGUUCUACUCUCAUACCCUCGGAAAGGACCGCGUUUCGUCGUGCUCUAGGUACUUUAAAAUCCCUCCCCCGUACCUGUACGGCGGCCGGCAGGUGUUGGGUGUCGCAGGCUCGCUCUCUUUCGUGCCCGAGGUGACCAGUGAUCAGAAGGUGCCAGGAGCAGCACCGUGGGCAGUAGCGCUCUUAAUUGCUGGUAGCUCACCGCCGGUGCCUCAUCCAAUCAGUGGUACCUCAUCGUUGUGUGCCUUUUCACUUUCAGAGCAUUCCUUCUGUAAUUUAUUCAUCUGCUCUUCUUUCUGAUUGAAGCGAGUCUAUAGGCGACUGAAGUUGUACAACAGAAAAUUAGUAGAGUUAAAUCAUGAAAUUAUGGAUCAUCUGAUUGAAUCAUCUGCUCUUUAUUCUGGAUAAUUGUAUACAAUGUACUGCACUCUUGGAACUUGAAAUUACACUCAUAUAUACUACACGAUUUAGUA
Brachypodium distachyon (stiff brome) is the source of this 2048-nucleotide RNA transcript. RefSeq lists it as uncharacterized. The transcript has 6 exons. Lineage: Eukaryota; Viridiplantae; Streptophyta; Magnoliopsida; Poales; Poaceae. The record is from RefSeq and is a predicted model, not a curated record.